RNAcentral lists this ribosomal RNA (433 nucleotides) under uncultured bacterium. Its description in RNAcentral is "partial 16S ribosomal RNA". It matches the Rfam family "Bacterial small subunit ribosomal RNA", at positions 29 to 507 of the family's 1533-position model. The record is from RNAcentral.
AACGAACGCUGGCGGCAUGCCUAACACAUGCAAGUCGAACGAGACCUUCGGGUCUAGUGGCGCACGGGUGCGUAACGCGUGGGAACCUGCCCUUAGGUUCGGAAUAACUCCCCGAAAGGGGUGCUAAUACCGGAUAAUGUCUUCGGACCAAAGAUUUAUCGCCUUUGGAUGGGCCCGCGUUGGAUUAGCUAGUUGGUAGGGUAAAAGCCUCCCAAGGCGACGAUCCAUAGCUGGUCUGAGAGGAUGAUCAGCCACACUGGGACUGAGCCACGGCCCAGACUCCUACGCGAGGCAGCAGUGGCGAAUAUUGGACUACGGGCGAAAGCCUGAUCCAGCACUGCCGCGUGAGUGAUGAAGGCCUUAGGGUUGUAAAGCUCUUUUACCCGGGAUGAUAAUGACAGUACCGGGAGAAUAAGCUCCGGCUAACUCCGUG